RNAcentral lists this long non-coding RNA (470 nucleotides) under Coffea arabica (coffee). Its description in RNAcentral is "long non-coding RNA (CARA_LNC007334)". The record is from RNAcentral. Lineage: Eukaryota; Viridiplantae; Streptophyta; Magnoliopsida; Gentianales; Rubiaceae.
CUCUUCAAGACAAAAGAGACUUUGUGUGGAAGAUUCAUGAGAUUUGAAAAUUAUAAAUAAAGGAGCAUUUAGUCUUAGGACAAGCUUUUAGUUCUAGUUAGUUUUAAAGAGGGAGAGAGUUUUGGAACAAAAGGAAGAAACAAAAAAGGUUGUGUCUUGCCCUUUGAGGCAAGACACAAACCCAUCACAUUUGUGGCUUUCUUCUUCAUUUCUUUUAGUUUAUAGGACUAGUUUAGGUCUUGUGUUAUACAUCCAUUCUUGUAAAAGCUCAAUAAGGAAAAAGAUUGGGAUGUAAAAGGGGCACUCUGGGAGGCUCUAAUGACAAGGGUUAUCCUCCUCUCUAAACUCUUUAUCUUGUAUUUACUUCAAUGUUUAGUGAAUUUUUUAGUUUGGAUAUUAUGUUGAUGUAGUAGUUUUAAAAUUUAUGCCUUGGGUAUUUGGAUGAAUUAUUUAUGAUUGCUAUUUGUUAA